AUUGAACGCUGGCGGCAGGCCUAACACAUGCAAGUCGAGCGGAUGAAGGGAGCUUGCUCCUGGAUUCAGCGGCGGACGGGUGAGUAAUGCCUAGGAAUCUGCCUGGUAGUGGGGGAUAACGUCCGGAAACGGGCGCUAACACCGCAUACGUCCUGAGGGAGAAAGUGGGGGAUCUUCGGACCUCACGCUAUCAGAUGAGCCUAGGUCGGAUUAGCUAGUUGGUGGGGUAAAGGCCUACCAAGGCGACGAUCCGUAACUGGUCUGAGAGGAUGAUCAGUCACACUGGAACUGAGACACGGUCCAGACUCCUACGGGAGGCAGCAGUGGGGAAUAUUGGACAAUGGGCGAAAGCCUGAUCCAGCCAUGCCGCGUGUGUGAAGAAGGUCUUCGGAUUGUAAAGCACUUUAAGUUGGGAGGAAGGGCAGUAAGUUAAUACCUUGCUGUUUUGACGUUACCAACAGAAUAAGCGCCGGCUAACUUCGUG
RNAcentral lists this ribosomal RNA (484 nucleotides) under uncultured bacterium. RNAcentral describes it as "partial 16S ribosomal RNA". It matches the Rfam family "Bacterial small subunit ribosomal RNA", at positions 30 to 507 of the family's 1533-position model. The record is from RNAcentral.